RNAcentral lists this long non-coding RNA (980 nucleotides) under Vigna radiata. RNAcentral describes it as "long non-coding RNA (VRAD_LNC004353)". Lineage: Eukaryota; Viridiplantae; Streptophyta; Magnoliopsida; Fabales; Fabaceae. The record is from RNAcentral.
GGGGGAAACAAUGUAAUCUUUUGAUACUCUCUUUUAUUGAAACUCUUGUUUAUUUAUAUGAUUUCCAUAUGCUUUGAUUAUUAAUUGUUGGGUUCUCAUCUAUGCUUAAUGCUUUUAUCGUUUAACUCAUUCGAUAACUGUUGUUUGUCUUNAUUGAUAUGGGGACGUACAGUAAUGUCAUGAACUGGUGAGUGAUUCCUUAAUUAAGCAAUACCACUUAGGGAUAGGGGUAGGACGAUCAAUUGUUUUUCACUUCUUAGAACUUUGCUUGUCCUCAAGCAAACAAGACAAAACUUGGCUUUCCACUUUUUCAUCAAAAUAGUUCAACAAUCCCAAAAUUCAUUCUUCUCACAACAAGUCAUUACUCAUUUCAGAUUUUCAGUGGAAUCUUAUCAAGAUGCAUACAUGCUUUCAAUUCAAUUCAGUUCACAUGAUCAUAUAUUUUCCAAUAGAUGUUUUACUUAUGAAUGACCAAUCAGCUAAGCAUAGAUGUAAACAUGGAAUUUAUCAAUUCUCUCCAAGCAAGUGUUUCACUCAAUCACUCAAGUGUUUAAGAGGGUACUCCAUCUCUCUACUACUCACAUGUCACCUGAAACAAAAUUGCUCUUCGUCUAAUACAAUUAAUAUUCUCACUACAAAUGCCAUCACAAGGACUUUUUCAAGGCUUAUAAUGAACCUGGGCUAACAAGAAAUAUUGGUUUUUCUAGAGCACAAAAUCCUUGAGUCAAGAGAGCUAUUUUAAUAUUCAAAGUUCAAGCACAAACUCUCUUCUUAACCAAUCUCACUCAUUCCCAACUUCUUCCUUUUUCUUUUAUUUUUACAUUGAGCUUAUCAUUCAUGCUUUUUCUUUUCUUCUUUUUCUUUUCUCAUGCUUUUUCUUUUAUUCAACACUUGAGCUCAAUGUCUUUCUUUUGCCUCUCAAAUUUCCCCAAACAACCCCAAACUUGAACCUUUUCAAUACCAUACAAUUAUUCUCAACC